ACUCCUACGGGAGGCAGCAGUGGGGAAUCUUGGACAAUGGGGGCGAACCCUGAUCCAGCCAUGCCGCGUGAGUGAUGAAGGCCUUAGGGUCGUAAAGCUCUUUCGCCUGUGAUGAUAAUGACAGUAGCAGGUAAAGAAACCCCGGCUAACUCCGUGCCAGCAGCCGCGGUAAUACGGAGGGGGUUAGCGUUGUUCGGAAUUACUGGGGCGUAAAGCGCGCGUAGGCGGAUUAGUCAGUUAGAGGUGAAAUCCCAGGGCUCAACCCUGGAACUGCCUUUAAUACUGCUAGUCUUGAGUUCGAGAGAGGUGAGUGGAAUUCCGAGUGUAGAGGUGAAAUUCGUAGAUAUUCGGAGGAACACCAGUGGCGAAGGCGGCUCACUGGCUCGAUACUGACGCUGAGGUGCGAAAGUGUGGGGAGCAAACAGGAUUAGAUACCCUGGUAGGAUAGCG
This 450-nucleotide ribosomal RNA is filed under the name uncultured bacterium. Its description in RNAcentral is "bacterial SSU rRNA". It matches the Rfam family "Bacterial small subunit ribosomal RNA", at positions 335 to 799 of the family's 1533-position model. The record is from RNAcentral.